Molecule: ribosomal RNA, 301 nt
Filed under: uncultured bacterium
Lineage: Bacteria
Description: partial 16S ribosomal RNA
Rfam family: Bacterial small subunit ribosomal RNA
Source: RNAcentral
CAGCCGCCGCGGUAAUACGUAGGGUGCGAGCGUUAAUCGGAAUUACUGGGCGUAAAGCGUGCGCGGGCGGUUGUGUAAGACAGGUGUGAAAUCCCCGGGCUUAACCUGGGAACUGCGCUUGUGACUGCACAGCUAGAGUAUGGCAGAGGGGGGUGGAAUUCCACGUGUAGCAGUGAAAUGCGUAGAGAUGUGGAGGAACACCGAUGGCGAAGGCAGCCCCCUGGGCCAAUACUGACGCUCAUGCACGAAAGCGUGGGGAGCAAACAGGAUUAGAUACCCGGGUAGUCCCUGUCUCUUAUAC